UACGGGGGGGGCAAGCGUUGUUCGGAAUUACUGGGCGUAAAGGGCUCGUAGGCGGCCAACUAAGUCAGACGUGAAAUCCCCAGGCUUAACCUGGGAACUGCGUCUGAUACUGGAUGGCUUGAAUUCGGGAGAGGGAUGCAGAAUUCCAGGUGUAGCGGUGAAAUGCGUAGAUAUCGUAAGGAAGACCAGUGGCGAAGGCGAGUCUCUGGACAGCAACUGACGCUGAGGCACGAAGGCCAGGGGAGCAAACGGG
This 253-nucleotide ribosomal RNA is filed under the name uncultured bacterium. Its description in RNAcentral is "partial 16S ribosomal RNA". It matches the Rfam family "Bacterial small subunit ribosomal RNA", at positions 524 to 776 of the family's 1533-position model. The record is from RNAcentral.